This 253-nucleotide ribosomal RNA is filed under the name uncultured prokaryote. RNAcentral's name for it is "partial 16S ribosomal RNA". It matches the Rfam family "Bacterial small subunit ribosomal RNA", at positions 524 to 776 of the family's 1533-position model. The record is from RNAcentral.
UACGAGUGCCCCAAGCGUUAUCCGGAAUCAUUGGGCGUAAAGGGUGCGUAGGUUGUUUCAUUAGUCUUCUGUCAAAUUCUUCGGCUCAACCGGGGGUCCGCAGAAGAAGCGGUGAAACUAGAGGAUGUGAGAGGUGAAUGGAACUCAUGGUGUAGGGGUGAAAUCCGUUGAUAUCAUGGGGAACACCAAAAGCGAAGGCAAUUCACUGGAACAUUCCUGACACUGAAACACGAAAGCGUGGGUAGCGAAUGGG